GAUGAACGCUGGCGGCGUGCCUAAUACAUGCAAGUCGAGCGAACAGACGAGGAGCUUGCUCCUCUGACGUUAGCGGCGGACGGGUGAGUAACACGUGGAUAACCUACCUAUAAGACUGGGAUAACUUCGGGAAACCGGAGCUAAUACCGGAUAAUAUAUUGAACCGCAUGGUUCAAUAGUGAAAGACGGUUUUGCUGUCACUUAUAGAUGGAUCCGCGCCGCAUUAGCUAGUUGGUAAGGUAACGGCUUACCAAGGCAACGAUGCGUAGCCGACCUGAGAGGGUGAGCGGCCACACUGGAACGGGGACACGGUCCAGACCCCUACGGGAGGCAGCAGGAGGGAAUCUUCCGCAAAGGGCGAAAGCCGGACGGAGCAACGCCGCGUGAGUGAUGAAGGUCUUCGGAUCGUAAAACUCUGUUAUUAGGGAAGAACAAAUGUGUAAGUAACUAUGCACGUCUUGACGGUACCUAAUCAGAAAGCCACGGCUAACUACGUG
This 497-nucleotide ribosomal RNA is filed under the name uncultured bacterium. Its description in RNAcentral is "partial 16S ribosomal RNA". It matches the Rfam family "Bacterial small subunit ribosomal RNA", at positions 28 to 507 of the family's 1533-position model. The record is from RNAcentral.